Polyodon spathula (Mississippi paddlefish) is the source of this 1206-nucleotide long non-coding RNA. RefSeq lists it as uncharacterized. The record is from RefSeq and is a predicted model, not a curated record. NCBI's taxonomy places the organism in Eukaryota, Metazoa, Chordata, Actinopteri, Acipenseriformes, Polyodontidae. The transcript has 6 exons.
GAAAGGAGCGGGGGAGUGUUUCAGUUGGAAUUGUUUUUAGCCAUCAUGCUUCUGCUGUUCCUCUGUCGAAGGAAAGUAAGGAGGGAGGACCCACAGUGACAUCACAAGGAAAUCAUUUUUUAAAAGAUAAGCAGUCCAUAUUGAAAUCACUGAGAAAGGGGAAGAGAUUUUUCAUUGACGCUGCAAGAAGUACAUAAUCAAGCUACAGUAUGGGUUUUUGUCUUAAGUGCCUGUUGCUGGCACUGUCAGUCGGAUUAAAUUGCCAAGUGUUUUCAGAGGGAAAAUGCAAAGGACAAUGCAUUAAAGCAGCAAGCUGUACGUCUACUAGCAGUGACGGCGAGUAUGGGAGUAAACUAGCUGAAUUAAAACAACACACUCCAAUUAUUACAGUUGGACCAUCACACAAUUCAAGUAUCCUUCUCUGUGUAGGAAAGUUUCAAAUAAUUAAGCAGAAAAAGAACAUGUAUCGUUGUGUUCUGAAGAAGGUUUUUGAAUUUUAUACAGCAGUUCUUAAAAUAUAUUCAAACCCAGAUGCAAUAGAAAUCAUUGACAGGAUGAACAAGAGCCUUAAAUGCACAAAUUGUGAAAGGUUACUGAAAAAGUACAGAAAGCUUCCACAAAGAUACAAGACUGCCGAGAACUGUACGGAUGAAAUAUUAGCUUGUGAUGCAGCAAUACUACAGGUUAAAAAACUUGAUGAUGCAAUGAAACAGGUCAACAACACUGAGAUCCAAGAAAGGGCCAUAUCUGAACUUGAUCGUCUUUCAGGAUGUCUUGCUCGACCCAAAAAAAGAGGUUAAUUAAAAAUAAUAGUUUGAGAUCUACUGACCUUUAUGAAUCACACUGUUUUUAUUUAUUUUGUAUUCUUUGGAACUGGAAAUGAACAGAAGUCAUUUUAUUUAUUAUAACAUGGUUAUAAAAUCACAUUGCACUGUUGUGGAAGAAAACAUAAAAUGCAGAGGAAUGACACCAGGAGGUAUGGUCCUAAAUAACAGACCACUCCCAGAGCUGUAUCCAACAUCGAUAAGGGUUACUGCAAUAACGGCUUGCAUUUAAUUGUCCAUCAUUUGUCUUGAGAUAACUUUAAACACAGAAUAAAUGAUAUAUUUUUAUAGGAAUUGCUCUUGACAGAUACAGUGGUUUGCGAAAGUAUUGACCCCCCUUGGCAUUUUUCCUAUAUUGUUGCCUUACAACCUGGAAUUAAAA